UGUAAAGUACGAUGAUUACAAACGAUACUAUUGGCAACAGCGUAAAGAGUGAAUUUUCCUAGCAGACGAAUAUCUAGAUAGCUUUUACUGUUUUAGGAAUUCCUAAAUAAAGGAAAAAAAGGUUCAUUUUCUAUCGGUGAAAAAUGGCAAAUCUGGUAGAACCCAUUCUUCGGACCCGUCUUACUGAUAUGACAGCCCCUGUGUUCUCUUUUCAAAUGCAUCCAUGCAAAGACUUUGAAAUGAGGUAUAUUUCCUGCAUGGAAGCUUACGGAAAAUCUUUGGGAAAGGAAAAGUGUAUGGACUUGAAGUUGGAUUUAAAUGAAUGUGUUUUUAGCGACAAACAGUUGUUCCGAGUUCUAGCCAUGCAAAAGGAACGUGAACGUCAAUAUAAGGCUGGCGAGCGUACAUCAGAAAAUUACUAUGGACCGAUCCCUAAACCUGAUAGCUACUAAAACAGUUAAAUGAAUAGAAAAAAAAAGGAUGAUUCCUGUUUAGAAAUUUUCUAGUACCAGGUUUUGUACAGGUGUGGGAGUACAAUUUAUUCAAAUCA
Daphnia pulex (common water flea) is the source of this 550-nucleotide long non-coding RNA. RefSeq lists it as uncharacterized. The transcript is spliced from 3 exons. Lineage: Eukaryota; Metazoa; Arthropoda; Branchiopoda; Diplostraca; Daphniidae. The record is from RefSeq and is a predicted model, not a curated record.